GGGCCAGACUCCUACGGGAGGCAGCAGUGGGGAAUAUUGCACAAUGGGGGAAACCCUGAUGCAGCGACGCCGCGUGGGUGAAGAAGUAUUUCGGUAUGUAAAGCCCUAUCAGCAGGGAAGAAGAAUGACGGUACCUGACUAAGAAGCACCGGCUAAAUACGUGCCAGCAGCCGCGGUAAUACGUAUGGUGCAAGCGUUAUCCGGAUUUACUGGGUGUAAAGGGAGCGCAGGCGGCACGCUAAGCCUGAUGUGAAAACCCGCGGCCCAACCGCGGGAGUGCAUUGGGAACUGGCGGGCUAGAGUACCGGAGGGGCAGGCGGAAUUCCUAGUGUAGCGGUGAAAUGCGUAGAUAUUAGGAGGAACACCAGUGGCGAAGGCGGCCUGCUGGACGGAGACUGACGCUGAGGCUCGAAAGCGUGGGGAGCAAACAGGAUUAGAUACCCUUGUAC
This 449-nucleotide ribosomal RNA is filed under the name uncultured bacterium. RNAcentral's name for it is "partial 16S ribosomal RNA". It matches the Rfam family "Bacterial small subunit ribosomal RNA", at positions 328 to 793 of the family's 1533-position model. The record is from RNAcentral.